UCUGGAAUAAUUUUGAAUUCUGGAUGAGAAAUUUAAGAUGGAAACUUAUCCCAACUAAAUAAGGAUAGCCAUGUGUGCAUGGCUAAAGGGGGGGGGGGGGUUAGUUAGUUCAUAUUGAAAUGAUAGUGAAAGUAAAAUUAACGUUCACCAUGCAUGCAUGGCUAACCCUAUUUAGUUGGGUUAUUUUUUAUCAUAAAUUUCUCAUCAGAUUAAAAUAAUUCCUUGUGAUUACACAGUUUUAUUGGCUAAAACAUUAACAUAUGACAUGAAGUAAUUGGGUUAAUUUUCAUUUAAAUGCAAGGAAAAGAAAAUAACUGUAAAAAGUAACAAUAUGCAAUGAUAAUACUAUUAUUCACCGGAGAAUAACAUUUGAGCCUCUUGAUUUAUACACAAAUUGUCUCUCAUCAAAGUGACACUACUGGCAUAGGUAAACAUAAUGACAGGAAUUUGUAGAAGACUAUCAAGAUAAUAUUUUCUAAUACCUCUCUUUUACUCAAUAGCAAACAAACCACAUCUCUUUAUUUUUAAACAAGAUAUGUAAAAUAUGAAACCGAUGUUCAGCAUGUUAUCCUAAUGCUAGCAAGUUGAAGGUUUGGUUUGCUUGCUUGCUAUGUUUGUAUUAAAGUUUGAUCCAGUAGGCGAAGUUAAACCUGUAAACUGGUAAAUUUGAUUAUUUGAUAAAAAUGUCAAAUCAAAUUUAAAUAUGAUGUAUUCAAGUUUAACUUUUUAUAUUGUUUUCAAAUGUCAAUCAAACCUUUAACUUGCUAGCAUUAGGAUAACAGCUGUAAUCUAUUUU
This 796-nucleotide long non-coding RNA is filed under the name Mytilus galloprovincialis (Mediterranean mussel). Lineage: Eukaryota; Metazoa; Mollusca; Bivalvia; Mytilida; Mytilidae. The record is from RNAcentral.